RNAcentral lists this ribosomal RNA (509 nucleotides) under uncultured bacterium. Its description in RNAcentral is "bacterial SSU rRNA". It matches the Rfam family "Bacterial small subunit ribosomal RNA", at positions 345 to 855 of the family's 1533-position model. The record is from RNAcentral.
GAGGCAGCAGUGAGGAAUAUUGGUCAAUGGACGAGAGUCUGAACCAGCCAAGUAGCGUGAAGGAUGACUGCCCUAUGGGUUGUAAACUUCUUUUAUACGGGAAUAAAGUGAGGCACGUGUGCCUUUUUGUAUGUACCGUAUGAAUAAGGAUCGGCUAACUCCGUGCCAGCAGCCGCGGUAAUACGGAGGAUCCGAGCGUUAUCCGGAUUUAUUGGGUUUAAAGGGAGCGUAGGCGGACGCUUAAGUCAGUUGUGAAAGUUUGCGGCUCAACCGUAAAAUUGCAGUUGAUACUGGGUGUCUUGAGUACAGUAGAGGCAGGCGGAAUUCGUGGUGUAGCGGUGAAAUGCUUAGAUAUCACGAAGAACUCCGAUUGCGAAGGCAGCCUGCUGGACUGUAACUGACGCUGAUGCUCGAAAGUGUGGGUAUCAAACAGGAUUAGAUACCCUGGUAGUCACACAGUAAACGAUGAAUACUCGCUGUUUGCGAUAUACAGUAAGCGGCCAAGCGAA